This is a long non-coding RNA of Parus major (Great Tit), 1197 nucleotides long. RefSeq lists it as uncharacterized. The record is from RefSeq and is a predicted model, not a curated record. The transcript has 4 exons. Lineage: Eukaryota; Metazoa; Chordata; Aves; Passeriformes; Paridae.
GCUGCUGCGUGGAGGCGGGGUCUAUCCCAGCCAAUAGACGCACGACUCCGAGGGGCCGGGCGGAAGAAGCCGCGUUCCGCCGCUCGGUUGGGGCGGGACGAGGCGGGCCCCACCCGGAGCUCCGGGGCGCUCUCCGGCCCAGAGCGGCAGGUACAGCCGCGGCCCCGCGCCUUCCCCCGGAGAGACCUCGCUUUUCCCCGGUGGGACCCGUUCCUCUCGCCCUUCCCGUGCGCACCGUUCCCCUUGGCACGAACAACAGCCACAGCCGCCUUAAGGCGCAUGCGCAAAGCGCCUCCGCCGAGCCACCUUAAACCAGCCGCUGUGGCGCUGAGAGCUCGCCUGUGAUUGGGCGCCUGCCGCAUGAUCAAAGUAACAGGCACGCUGAUUGGAGGAGAGCUGAGGCGGCUGUUGUCUCGGCAACCGGGAGUCCACAUUCCCGGUGCCGCCGAGGGCUGGGGAUGCACCGGCAGGAGCGGGCAGGAGCGGGCAGGUUUCAAGAUUUCCUUAUAAACACCACAGGAAAGGGAUCUCAAACUGGAGAAAAAGAUAUUUAAGUCUCAGUCAAAAGGAUUUCAGUACAACCAACUCAUCCCAGCAUGGAUUCCCUCACCAAGGGAGUAACAUCUUCCUUCCAGUCAAAGACUUCCCACCUAACAAGGAACAACGAAUUCACUCCAGAUUUAUUCCAGAAUCUGCAGCCUCAGUCACACAAACCCGCCAGGGAAGCAAAGGAAACUCCUUCCAGCCCUGCAGAGCCACACCACACACCGAGCUCCUCAGCUGCCUGCCUGAUGAUGCAAGGAGUGAAUAAGCACGAAUAAAGACACAGAAACUGGGUGUUGUUUGUAGAAGUGAGGAGCAGAGCCCUCCGCCCAGCGCUGGGGAUACCGGAGCUCUUGCACAACUCGGCUCUCAGCCUGCUGCUCCUUUUUAUGCAUCUCUGUCCCUGUGGGCACUUUUCCACCAGGAGCACUGGGGAAGUUUUCCUUCCUCCCCAGCUGGAGGAGGAAGCAGCUCCUGGUCUGUGAGCAGCAGGGCUGGGAUGCCAGAGUGGGAUUCCUGCGUCAGGAUUUCCCUCAGACUCCGCACACCGUGAGCCUGUGCUGGCCUGCCAGGCUGGCUCACGGGCAGCUAAUUAGCGCCCUAAUUUCUAAGAAUUGGAAGAGGAUCGUUAAUUAAAAUUGGUUUGAAAGCUUC